Molecule: ribosomal RNA, 253 nt
Filed under: uncultured bacterium
Lineage: Bacteria
Description: partial 16S ribosomal RNA
Rfam family: Bacterial small subunit ribosomal RNA
Source: RNAcentral
GACGUAGGGGGCAAGCGUUGUCCGGAAUCAUUGGGCGUAAAGAGCGUGUAGGCGGCCAGAUAAGUCCGCUGUGAAAUCUCGAGGCUCAACUUCGAGCUGUCGGUGGAAACUGUCUGGCUAGAGUCCGGAAGAGGAGAAUGGAAUUCCUGGUGUAGCGGUGAAAUGCGCAGAUAUCAGGAAGAACACCCGUGGCGAAGGCGGUUCUCUGGGACGGUACUGACGCUGAGACGCGAAAGCGUGGGGAGCGAACAGG